This 433-nucleotide ribosomal RNA is filed under the name uncultured bacterium. Its description in RNAcentral is "partial 16S ribosomal RNA". It matches the Rfam family "Bacterial small subunit ribosomal RNA", at positions 29 to 507 of the family's 1533-position model. The record is from RNAcentral.
AACGAACGCUGGCGGCAUGCCUAACACAUGCAAGUCGAACGAGCCCUUCGGGUCUAGUGUCGUAUGGGUGCGUAACGCGUGGGAACCUGCCCUUAGGUUCGGAAUAACUCUCCGAAAGGGGUGCUAAUACCGGAUAAUGUCUUCGGCCCGAGGAUUUUUCGACUUUGGAGGUGCCCGCGUUGGAUUCGCUCGUUGGUAUGGUAAAAGACUAACACGGCGACAAUCAAUAACUGGGAUGAGAGGAAGAUCAGCCACACUGGGACUAAGACACGGCCCGGACUCCUACGGGAAGCAGGAGUGGGGAACAUUGGACAAUGGGGUAAAGCAUGAACCAGCAAUGCCGGGUGAGUGAUGAAGGCCUUAGGGUUGUAAAGCUCUUUUACCCGGGAUGAUAAUGACAGUACCGGGAGAAUAAGCUCCGGCUAACUACGUG